UGAGGUACCACCCAAGACAACCAUUUGUUUUUGAGGUUAAUUUUUUUAGCCUCCUUAGCUUGCCAUUCAUUUUCGGAAUUCAAGAGAUGUGUUGCUGGACACGGCUAUGUGAGGUUUGGUAAAUGUCAGGUCACUUCUUUCCAGCUUCCAGUUACCAGCUACUGAUGAGUGCAGGUGUGAAAGAGCGCUGCCUGUUCCUGCAGUCGUACUAACUUCUGUAGAGCUAUACUAAUACCUCUUUGGUGCUAUUAUUUAUAUGACUUCAUAUUUAUGUGGCUUCUCUAGUUGUUGUCAGCAGGAAUGUUGGCUGUGACACAUUAUUAGUUACUUGGAAUCGGAAGUUCAGUAUGAUGUGUUUUGAUGGGGAUUUAGAUGUCUGCCUGAGUGUUUCUGAUGAGUGAUUUGUUUUUAGAGUUUGACAGAGAAACAGGAUUAGCUCCUCAACCGUUUUCCAUAUCCAGUGCAUGUAUUUCUAGAACUCGUCUCUGAUCGGAGAAACCCUGGCCCACUUAAAUCACAGGCUUUGAUAAAGACAAGAGGAGAAAGGAAACCAAUAAAGCAAGCCAAGAAGAGCGUGUAAUUUGUGUUUUGGGGGUGCCCAUGGAUAGGAUGUCGUGUGUGCUUACCCGGAGUCGCCACAUGUCAUUCUGAGGAUCACUUUCCUACAGUCUUUUCCUUUUACUUGCAUGGCUUAAAAAGUAAAUGUCAAACAAUUUAUUGUUUAACGAAAAUUGUAAAUGUGUUUAGUGGAAUUUAGUUAUAUGUUUUUAUGAUAGGUUCAAACCUAAUGCACGUGUCAUUUAUGUAAAUUUAGGAGUAAUCAUUUUAAUCAUCUAUACUUAGUACUUUUCCACAGUAUAUUUGAUUAUCUAACAUGCUAAAAAUCCCUCCAUCUCCAGAGUUAUAAAUGGGAGUAAUUAAACCUUAAAAAACUUUACACUUGAGUAGAGUAACGGCUUAUCUAAGCAGCACGUGCUUAAAACCAACUUUUUAUCAAAGAAAAUAACAUGAGAAGGUAGAGAAAUGCCUCUAAUUACAGUCCGCAUGAACUAACAGCCUAACUUUAACUUUGAACGACUGUUACUUUUUCCAUCUUUUUCAAAUAUCCUUAAAUAUAAGCACAUGUGGGAAUGCUCUUUGGCUUUUAUCAGACUGACAUUGCAGUGAUUUUUUUUUUUUUAACCUCACUUGAACAUUUGUGGUAAAAGAUUUCAAAGCUUUGAAUCUUAAAAUUUGCUUAUGGAUUCCCUCCCCCGUGUUAUUCUAUUAACAUUUGGUCUUAAUAAGUAUAACCUGUUCGGAAUUACUGCUGUUUUACAUUUAUUAUUUGUUUAGAUGAGAAAGAGGAAAGAAAAUUGAAAAUUCUGCUUGGCAGUUAAGAGUGCUUUCUCAUGGAAACUAAUGUCUUUGAGUUCCCCGUGAAGAUUUUAAUUGUCUUACCCCUCCUCAGAGGCUUAAACUUCCUGAAUUGUUUUCAAAUUACUGAUAUCUGCUCCUAUACUGAGAUAGUUUAUACAACGUGAGGUCGUCUCUCUUCAGACGGAUGUUGAGUGUGCCCACAUCUCCCUUCUUUGCACACCAGAACUUUUCUUCCCUGCUUCCGUAUAGUACAGCGACUUUAGUUUCAUUGACAAUGGAAAGCACUUGCCCUCAGAUGGAAGUAAACUUGUAUGGCCUGGCUCUCUGUGCUUUCCUGUUCAUAAUUCUUAUUUCCCCAUAGAGAAUAAUUGGAGAUGUAUUAUAGGUUAUAAUCAUGGUAUCCUUCAUUUUAAGUAGAAGUUGCUUCAUGUCACACCAGUAAGAAAUUUACUAAUUAAGAAUCAACUAAAGCCAGGCAUUGUGGCCCAUGCCUUUAAUCCUAGCAUUCAUGAGGCAGAGGCAGGUGGAUCUCUGUGAGUUACAGGCCAACUGGAACUAUAUAGAUGGCUUCUGUCUCAAAAAACACAAAACAACC
Molecule: long non-coding RNA, 1954 nt
Filed under: Mus musculus (house mouse)
Lineage: Eukaryota; Metazoa; Chordata; Mammalia; Rodentia; Muridae
Description: long non-coding RNA chr14:21160763-21162717
Source: RNAcentral